RNAcentral lists this ribosomal RNA (376 nucleotides) under uncultured bacterium. RNAcentral describes it as "bacterial SSU rRNA". It matches the Rfam family "Bacterial small subunit ribosomal RNA", at positions 524 to 898 of the family's 1533-position model. The record is from RNAcentral.
UACGGAGGGUGCGAGCGUUGUCCGGAAUCACUGGGCGUAAAGGGCGCGUAGGUGGUCUGCUAAGCGUGCGGUGAAAGCCUGGGGCUCAACCCCAGGUCUGCCGUGCGAACUGGUGGACUGGAGCACUGUAGAGGCAGGUGGAAUUCCGGGUGUAGCGGUGGAAUGCGUAGAGAUCCGGAAGAACACCGGUGGCGAAGGCGGCCUGCUGGGCAGUUGCUGACACUGAGGCGCGACAGCGUGGGGAGCAAACAGGAUUAGAUACCCUGGUAGUCCACGCCGUAAACGAUGGGGACUAGGUGCUUGGGGGAGCGACCCCUCGAGUGCCGGCGCUAACGCAUUAAGUCCCCCGCCUGGGGAGUACGACCGCAAGGUUGAA